Molecule: ribosomal RNA, 253 nt
Filed under: uncultured bacterium
Lineage: Bacteria
Description: partial 16S ribosomal RNA
Rfam family: Bacterial small subunit ribosomal RNA
Source: RNAcentral
GACGGAGGAUGCAAGCGUUAUCCGGAAUGACUGGGCGUAAAGCGUCCGCAGGUGGCCGUUCAAGUCUGCUGUCAAAGCCCGGGGCUUAACUUCGGAAAGGCAGUGGAAACUGAACAGCUAGAGUAUGGUAGGGGCAGAGGGAAUUCCUGGUGUAGCGGUGAAAUGCGUAGAGAUCAGGAAGAACAUCGGUGGCGAAGGCGCUCUGCUGGACCAUAACUGACACUCAGGGACGAAAGCUAGGGGAGCGAAUGGG